AUUGAACGCUGGCGGCAUGCCUAACACAUGCAAGUCGAACGCGUGGCGGACGGGUGAGGAAUGUCUGGGAAACUCCCUGAUGGAGGGGGAUAACUACUGGAAACGGUAGCUAAUACCGCAUACCAUCAGAUGUGCCCAGAUGUGAUUAGCUGGUAGGUGGGGUAAAGGCUCACCUAGGCGACGAUCCCUAGCUGGUCUGAGAGGAUGAACAGCCACACGGGAACUGAGACACGGUCCAGACGCCUACGGGAGGCAGCAGUGGGGAAUAUUGCACAAUGGGGGCAAGCCUGAUGCAGCCAGGCCGCGGGUGUGAAGAAGGCCUUCGGGUUGUAAGGCACUUUCAGCGGGGAGACGUUACCCGCAGAAGAAGCACCGGCUAACUCCGUGCCAGCAGCCGCGGUAAUAC
RNAcentral lists this ribosomal RNA (406 nucleotides) under uncultured bacterium. Its description in RNAcentral is "partial 16S ribosomal RNA". It matches the Rfam family "Bacterial small subunit ribosomal RNA", at positions 29 to 526 of the family's 1533-position model. The record is from RNAcentral.